GACGAACGCUGGCGGCGUGCUUAACACAUGCAAGUCGAACGGAAAGACCCUGCUUUUGUGGGGUGCUCGAGUGGCGAACGGGUGAGUAACACGUGAGUAACCUGCCCUUGACUUUGGGAUAACUUCAGGAAACUGGGGCUAAUACCGGAUAGGAGCUCCUGCUGCAUGGUGGGGGUUGGAAAGUUUCGGCGGUUGGGUAUGGACUCGCGGCUUAUCAGCUUGUUGGUGGGGUAGUGGCUUACCAAGGCUUUGACGGGUAGCCGGCCUGAGAGGGUGACCGGCCACAUUGGGACUGAGAUACGGCCCAGACUCCUACGGGAGGCAGCAGUGGGGAAUAUUGCACAAUGGGCGGAAGCCUGAUGCAGCAACGCCGCGUGCGGGAUGACGGCCUUCGGGUUGUAAACCGCUUUCGCCUGUGACGAAGCGUGAGUGACGGUAAUGGGUAAAGAAGCACCGGCUAACUACGUG
This 468-nucleotide ribosomal RNA is filed under the name uncultured bacterium. Its description in RNAcentral is "partial 16S ribosomal RNA". It matches the Rfam family "Bacterial small subunit ribosomal RNA", at positions 28 to 507 of the family's 1533-position model. The record is from RNAcentral.